This 325-nucleotide ribosomal RNA is filed under the name uncultured bacterium. RNAcentral describes it as "bacterial SSU rRNA". It matches the Rfam family "Bacterial small subunit ribosomal RNA", at positions 28 to 334 of the family's 1533-position model. The record is from RNAcentral.
GAUGAACGCUGGCGGCGCGCCUAACACAUGCAAGUCGAACGGAGCGAUAGAGCGGAAGUUUUCGGAUGGAAGCUGUAUAGCUUAGUGGCGGACGGGGGAGUAACGCGUGAGCAACCUGCCUUUCAGAGGGGGAUAACGAUUGGAAACGAUCGCUAAUACCGCAUAACGUCCGGAUGGGACAUCCUGUCUGGACCAAAGGAGAAAUCCGCUGAGAGAUGGGCUCGCGUCCAAUUAGCUGGUUGGCGGGGUAAAGGCCCACCAAGGCGACGAUUGGUAGCCGGACUGAGAGGUUGAACGGCCACAUUGGGACUGAGACACGGCCCAG